Molecule: ribosomal RNA, 303 nt
Filed under: uncultured bacterium
Lineage: Bacteria
Description: partial 16S ribosomal RNA
Rfam family: Bacterial small subunit ribosomal RNA
Source: RNAcentral
AGCAGUCGCGCGGUAAUACGGAGGAUCCAAGCGUUAUCCGGAAUCAUUGGGUUUAAAGGGUCCGUAGGCGGUCUUGUAAGUCAGUGGUGAAAGCCCAUCGCUCAACGGUGGAACGGCCAUUGAUACUGCAGGACUUGAAUUAUUGGGAAGUAACUAGAAUAUGUAGUGUAGCGGUGAAAUGCUUAGAGAUUACAUGGAAUACCAAUUGCGAAGGCAGGUUACUACCAAUUGAUUGACGCUGAUGGACGAAAGCGUGGGUAGCGAACAGGAUUAGAUACCCCGUAGUCCCUGUCUCUUAUACAC